Molecule: ribosomal RNA, 454 nt
Filed under: uncultured Porphyromonadaceae bacterium
Lineage: Bacteria; Pseudomonadati; Bacteroidota; Bacteroidia; Bacteroidales; Porphyromonadaceae
Description: bacterial SSU rRNA
Rfam family: Bacterial small subunit ribosomal RNA
Source: RNAcentral
ACGGAAGGCAGCAGUGAGGAAUAUUGGUCAAUGGGCGGAAGCCUGAACCAGCCAAGUCGCGUGAGGGAAGACGGCCCUACGGGUUGUAAACCUCUUCUGCGCGGGGGUAAAGUCGGGGACGGGUCCCCGAUUGCAAGUACCGCGCGAAAAAGGAUCGGCUAACUCCGUGCCAGCAGCCGCGGUAAUACGGAGGAUCCGAGUGUUAUCCGGAUUUAUUGGGUUUAAAGGGUGCGCAGGCGGGAUGUCAAGUCAGUGGUGAAAUGGUGCGGCUCAACCGUAGCAUUGCCGUUGAAACUGGCGUCCUUGAGUGCGAAUGAGGUACGCGGAACGUGUCAUGUAGCGGUGAAAUGCAUAGAUAUGUCACAGAACCCCGAUUGCGAAGGCAGCUAACCAGCAUACAACUGACGCUGAGGCACGAAAGCGUGGGUAUCAAACAGGAUUAGAUACCCUGGUA